AUUGAACGCUGGCGGCAUGCCUUACACAUGCAAGUCGAACGGUAACAGGUCUUCGGAUGCUGACGAGUGGCGAACGGGCGAGUAAUACAUCGGAACGUGCCCGAUCGUGGGGGAUAACGGAGCGAAAGCUUUGCUAAUACCGCAUACGAUCUACGGAUGAGAGCAGGGGACGGCAAGGCCUUGCGCGGACGGAGCGGCCGAUGGCAGCUUAGGUAGUUGUUGGGGUUAAAGCUUACCAAGCCGACGAGCUGUAGCGGGUCUGAGAGGACGAGCAGCCACACUGGAACUGAGACACGGCCCAUACUCCUGCGGGAGGCAGCAGUGGGCAAUUUUGGACAAUGGGCGAAAGCCUUAUCCAGCCAUGCCGCGUGCAGGAUGAAGGCCUUCGGGUUGUAAACUGCUUUUGUACGGAACGAAAAGACUCUUUCUAAUAAAGAGGGUCCAUGACGGUACCGUAAGAAUAAGCACCGGCUAACUACGUG
RNAcentral lists this ribosomal RNA (482 nucleotides) under uncultured bacterium. Its description in RNAcentral is "partial 16S ribosomal RNA". It matches the Rfam family "Bacterial small subunit ribosomal RNA", at positions 30 to 507 of the family's 1533-position model. The record is from RNAcentral.